This 688-nucleotide long non-coding RNA is filed under the name Marmota monax (woodchuck). The record is from RNAcentral. Lineage: Eukaryota; Metazoa; Chordata; Mammalia; Rodentia; Sciuridae.
CUCCUCGGCGGACCAGGGGCUUCCCUGCCCGAGGAGAUCCCGCAGCAGCCCCAGAUGCGCCUUGGAGUCUUGAUUUUUACGGCCCGCGGAGAGCCCUGGCCUGCCGAGGCGACCUCCUACGGGUGACCACCCACGGAGUGGGGGCGAGGCCCCAGACGGUCCCCGGGUGUGCCCGCCACCCACAGAGCCAGGGCUGCAGGGCACCGAGGACUGGCUCCCGCGGGAACGCCCGCUCCGCGCUUGGCUGCUCAGCUGAGGCGCAUUCCUCCCUCUGCUUUUUUUGACAAAUUAGGUCGUAGCCAGGGUUGGUGGCACUUAUUACAAUAAUUCCGCCAUCUCCGGCAAACCCUAACUACCGGGCACCUGCUGUGCGUCCUCAGGUUUCCCACUUAACUACCCUGCGAGUUGCCUGUAGUGGCCCCGAGGUUACGACGCGGGACUGAGACUCGCGAGGGCGCGGGGGAGCAGUGGCUCCACCCGGGCCCCAACCCGCUCCCGGCUGGCUGCUGUUAGGCCCCUCGCUGAAGCGCUCCCACAUCUGAAGCUUAAUGGGUUUGGUGUGAAGACUAUUGCAAAAUUGGAACUCUUAGGAUCACUUCCUGCCGCUUUGCAAGGGCUGACUCCGUAGCACUUCCCGUUUUCCGUGCUUUUAUAUGUAACCUGCAUUUUGAUUCCGCACUGGGAAAAC